Molecule: ribosomal RNA, 253 nt
Filed under: uncultured bacterium
Lineage: Bacteria
Description: partial 16S ribosomal RNA
Rfam family: Bacterial small subunit ribosomal RNA
Source: RNAcentral
UACGUAGGGUGCAAGCGUUAUCCGGAAUUAUUGGGCGUAAAGAGCUCGUAGGCGGUUUGUCGCGUCUGCUGUGAAAACCCGAGGCUCAACCUCGGGCCUGCAGUGGGUACGGGCAGACUAGAGUGCGGUAGGGGAGAUUGGAAUUCCUGGUGUAGCGGUGGAAUGCGCAGAUAUCAGGAGGAACACCGAUGGCGAAGGCAGAUCUCUGGGCCGUAACUGACGCUGAGACGCGAAAGCGUGGGGAGCGAACAGG